Molecule: long non-coding RNA, 775 nt
Organism: Panthera uncia (snow leopard)
Lineage: Eukaryota; Metazoa; Chordata; Mammalia; Carnivora; Felidae
Exons: 3
Source: RefSeq, a predicted model, not a curated record
ACGCUGAGGUCAGUGUGACAUCACAACAGCCAAAACAGAAACACGGGUGCCGGAGACUCGUAGGUGUAGGAGAUCAGGCCACAGCUCCUCUGUGCCUCUUUGAACUGCCUGGGGACGAAAGAGGGGACUGCAAACUUAUCAGGCUGGCCUAGACACGGAAGUAUUUCAGAGGCAGGGUCGCUGUGAAGGACCCCUGACUCACAGCCUCACCCUGAGCUUCCCAAAGGCCAUAGGAUAGGAGGUCAUGAGCUGCCUCAAGCCUGCAAAUGAAGCAUACUGCAGAGAAAAUUAAGUGGACUUCCGGGUGAUAGGCAAGGGCUCUGACGAGAAGGCGCCCAUGAAGCUCAAGUCAGCGGGGGAAAGCCCGACAUCGCUGCCUGAAAGCUUGUCACAGCUGAGACCUCGCACACGCCAAGGACACGUGCGGACGGCUGGGAUCCUCCUCUGCUGUGCCCACCCAAGGACAGCCAGCUUUUCUGCAGAGGCUUCUGCUGUUAUUCCCUGUUGCUGAUUAACCCCUUCCUAGGCCACAAGCACGUUCACUCGUCACGGCACGGCCUCAGCCCCUGCUGGGCAACACUGUGUGACCACUUGGACCUGAUUCCACAGCAGGCACGGGGGGUAAUUCUGAUAGCCUGGUAUAAAAUCUCUCCUUUGGGACCUUAAAUAAGACAGUAACUUACUACAAUCUCUCCCUUCUAUCACAAGUGCUUCCCUUUGUGAAAAUUCAGGACCAGGCGUUGGGAAAGAGAACCACGGCACACGGCACAGAAGG